GCUGGUAUAGUUUACAUAAAUAAAAUAUUGCUCUGAAGAAGCAAAGAAUAUUUUCUAGCA
RNAcentral lists this transfer RNA (60 nucleotides) under Cochlostyla marinduquensis. RNAcentral's name for it is "tRNA-Phe". The record is from RNAcentral. Lineage: Eukaryota; Metazoa; Mollusca; Gastropoda; Stylommatophora; Camaenidae.